This 77-nucleotide transfer RNA is filed under the name Candidatus Bipolaricaulota bacterium. Its description in RNAcentral is "tRNA-Arg". It matches the Rfam family "tRNA". From Rfam's summary of the family: Transfer RNA (tRNA) molecules are approximately 80 nucleotides in length. Their secondary structure includes four short double-helical elements and three loops (D, anti-codon, and T loops). Further hydrogen bonds mediate the characteristic L-shaped molecular structure. tRNAs have two regions of fundamental functional importance: the anti-codon, which is responsible for specific mRNA codon recognition, and the 3' end, to which the tRNAs corresponding amino acid is attached (by aminoacyl-tRNA synthetases). tRNAs cope with the degeneracy of the genetic code in two manners: having more than one tRNA (with a specific anti-codon) for a particular amino acid; and 'wobble' base-pairing, i.e. permitting non-standard base-pairing at the 3rd anti-codon position. The record is from RNAcentral. Lineage: Bacteria; Candidatus Bipolaricaulota.
GCGCCUGUAGCUCAGUCGGAUAGAGCGACGGAUUCCUAAUCCGUAGGCCGGGGGUUCGAGUCCUCCCAGGCGCACCA